Non-coding RNA from Doryrhamphus excisus (bluestripe pipefish), 802 nucleotides. The record is from RefSeq and is a predicted model, not a curated record. Lineage: Eukaryota; Metazoa; Chordata; Actinopteri; Syngnathiformes; Syngnathidae.
UUUGCUAGAAGUGAUUAAAAGUUGUUUAGAUAAGUAAUUCAUGGUUUAUACAAAUUUGUAUUCAAAAUGUUAUCGCGGGGGUCCACUUCCGGUUUUCGGAGAUGCACUUCCGGUCCACUUCCGGAUGUCGCGGGGGAGGAGAUCGUUCAUGGAGACUGCACGGGAACGUGGUGAAUGCCACUCACGUUGAGUUAUCACGCAGGAAUGCCUUUUCACCACACACACAGACAUAUCUGUGAAGGAAGACAAUUAAACUUUGCAGUGGAACUCCAUGGUCUUCGUUUGUGGUUUAGCUUGGUGUCACCAACAUCCCUGUUGAAAACACUACACAAUCAUAUGCAAAAGUUUGGACACCUCCUAACAAUUUCCAUCCUUUUCAUUAAUAAAUCACAAAAUCAUUGCGUGUUUGGAGCUGCUAUUAAAUAUUGACAGAUGACAUUUUUUUUCUCUUGCUGGGAAUCACCAACUCCUACCACUUAUGCCUGAGCUUGUCAUGAAGAAAGAUUUCCUGGAAGCCAUAGCUAAUGAAGCACAAGAAAUCGCAGAACGUUCCAGACGUCCUGGCAUCGUCCUUGCUGACAAGAAAGACAAAGAUGGGCCGGUGAUGCUGAAACCAGGGCGACGGUGCGUGCUGAUUGGUCCACGUCUUGCACAAUUGUGAAAUGUAUAAAAGCCGGGCAGGGAAAGAAAGGGUGCUUUUUUGCAGCUGCGCUGUACUAAGACCCAACUUACUGUUGGAAUACAGGGAAUGCAACUAAGCCCGGACGUCUGUAUUAGAUAUUGUUUGUAUCAGGAAUAAAUA